AUCCUCCCCCGUGCACUCCCCACAGCCGCCAGCUGCACAGGUGGGUGCGCUCAGCCUGGGAGGCCAGGGGCUGGGUCACUCAGCCUCCCUUUCUCUUCAAACACUAAGGUUGGCCCUGAGGAGAUUGAAGUCAGUCCCCACCCAGCUUCCAGCCGCCUGGAGCGCUCACCUGCUAGCCACUAGUCCCGGACUGUUCCUUAAAGAUGUGCAGCCGAGAAUGUUGUGGAGACAUACCUGUGUUGCUGGUUGCCUGCCGGUCACGCAGGACUGACGCGGGAAAGCGCUACCGGGUGGUGAGCAAGGCUGCCGGGAGCACACGGGGAUGCUGGCUCAGUGGGGUGGGAAGCCAUGGCUUUGAGUUUUCCCAGGUGCUAUUAGAAUGUUGUUUUCAGGGUUUCAGUCAGCUUUUAAUGAUAAUAGUUAAUUGUAACUUUGUGUAACCAACUAAACGUGACAACGGCACAGGCUCUGAAAUGUAGUUGUCAUCUAAAGUAACGCUCCUCCAGGGCAGGCACAGCUGCUUGGUUUCCUCCAAAUAAAAUUUUUCUUAAAAUAAAUUCUACUUUAAAAUGUAAAAGCAUGUUUUGGCCUUUCGCCUGUAAUACUUUACUUAGUUAACUUGCAUGUCCUCAUUGAUCUCUACGGGACAAGGGGUGAUGUUUCCACUCUCAGAUGGAUGAGAGAAGUUGGAGGAGCCACCAAGUUGCCUGUGAGUCUGGUUACUUUUUUUCCAGACAAACUCAGAGUUCCUUCCAUUGCUAACAUUUUCUGAAUAUGAUACUCAGUUCUUUCAAAAAGAAGAUGGAUCUAAGUUUGUGCCUUAAAUUUCAUUAUUGCAAUAAGGAAAGGCAGUUCCCUUCAAGUAUCUUUCCGUUUAAUAGCACCCGUCACAGUGGCAGGUGCUGACAUCAUUUCUAACAAGAUGAGAGAGGGCCCUGGGGGUUUUCUAUUCUCCAGUCCCGAGGACACACCUCCGUCUUUUUUUCCUUGAGCUGCUGUGCAGGUACUGACCGCAUGAAGCGAACUCGUCUCAGCAGGCCUGAUGCCUGCCAAGACCUCCCCUUGGAUAUGCCACUUGUGAAGCUCAUUCGAUCUGCUAACUCAUGGCAACUGGCACUAGAUGUUAGACCUCAGUCCUUGAGUUUUGGCUUAGAAAGAAUUCAGAACCAAGACUCAAAUACAAGAAUAAGUUUCUUUAGAAAGUCACAGAAGAGGAGAAGUGAGCCAUGGAAGAAGUGAGACAGCUGGGCUGCAGACUCAGGAAACAAGUUACAGAGGCAAAAGAAGGGCCCUUGGAGCUUAGGAGAAAGACAGGCAAGAAUCCACGCCUAGGGGAAGGCGAGGGGAGAAGGUGUGGGCAUGCUCUAGAGAGCAAGUGAGCAGGCAGGCAUACCUCUGUGUUUGCAGGCUCCACACCCUUCCCAAUGUCAAAUGCUUGGGGCCUCCUGUUAUGGACUGAAUUGGGCUUCCCGUCCAAUUCAUGUGUUGAAGCCUAAACCCCAGUGUGACUGUAACUGGAGAUAGGGCCCUUGUGGAGGGCAUUCAUGUUGAAGGACGUCAUAAGGCUGGGGUUGUGAUCCGGUGGUCCGGGGUCCUCAUAAGAAGAGACAGUGAUGUCGUGCUCUCUGCACACACACACAGAUGCCACCGUGUGAGGGCACAGCAAGAGGCAGUCAUCUGCAAGCCAAGGAGAGGAGCUUCACCAGAAACUGACCCUGCAGCACCUUGAUUUUGGAGUUCCAGUCUCCAGAACUGUGAGGGAGUAAAUGUCUGUUGCUUCAGCCACCCAGUCUGUGAUAUUGGACACCUCCAAAGUGCUGAGAGGGGUCUGAGUUUGCUCUAAAAAAAUAUUUCCUUCAAGAGCUCAAUCCUAAGAAAAGCCCUUACACUUGUACUCUUGUCCCCUUGACAACACCCGUCAGCUCUGCCUAGAGGUAGCCCUGUCUGCUGCUGUCCAUCUCCAGACACCAGGCCUCUCUCCGGAUACCUCCAUGCGCAUCAUUAUUUGAGAAGUUCUGCCAAAGAAACCCAGACUUCUGGGGGAGUCCUGUGCAGUUCUGGGUGAAACCCUGGUCUCUAAAUCUCACAGAGUGUUCCAGGGAUUCUAGAAGCUUCUCUGGAGACUAUACUACUAGUAUGUGGUGGCUGGGGCUGUCGCAACAGCUGAUGACUCCACUCAGUGUAGAACACGAGAAUCACUUGGAAACAUGACCUGGCUACAUGGUGGACCUGAGGUCAUCACAAGGGUCCUUACUAGAGGGAAGCAGGAGGUCUGAGUCAGAGGACAUGUGACAACAGGGUCAGAGUGAUGAAGGUCCAUGUGCCAAGAAGGGGGAAGACUCUGGAAACUUCAGAGAAACAAAUUCCUCCUUAAAGACUCCAGAGGGAACACGCUCUGUUGACACCUUGAUUUUCUCCCGCUAGAACCGUUGUGGACUUCUGACUUCCAGAACUACAAGGUUCCUGGAAGGAUGUCAUGCCGUGACCUGCACUGGCUGCCCUGACACAGUUGCAGUCACUGUCCUUCGCUUCAUGACCGCAGCUGCGGUCAAGGGCCAUGGGCCCAGCAGCCUUCCCUGCCACGUGCCUGUCCUGGGGACCCACAGCAGAUGCUCUGGGGGCAGAGCUACUGGGGGUAGGAGAGGACGAGAGCAUGGUCCUGCCCUCUGCAUAGCAGCAGCCCCUGGGCAUCUCAGGACUGUGCCUCCGUGUUCCCCAGCCCAGCU
Myotis davidii is the source of this 2726-nucleotide long non-coding RNA. RefSeq lists it as uncharacterized. The record is from RefSeq and is a predicted model, not a curated record. NCBI's taxonomy places the organism in Eukaryota, Metazoa, Chordata, Mammalia, Chiroptera, Vespertilionidae. The transcript has 4 exons.